RNAcentral lists this long non-coding RNA (1165 nucleotides) under Fukomys damarensis (Damara mole-rat). RNAcentral describes it as "lncRNA (ENSFDAG00000021914.1)". Lineage: Eukaryota; Metazoa; Chordata; Mammalia; Rodentia; Bathyergidae. The record is from RNAcentral.
CCCCUGUGUGUUCACUGAGCCUCCGCCCUCUUCCUUUGAAUUUUCAAGGGCCUCAGCCUCCUACUUCUGCUUUUAUACUUGAUCUUAGCCAAAGGCCAAGAAGCAAUACCGCUUCUCUUUUUUACCCUUUCUGGCUUUGGUGACUUCCUUGAAGUGGGUCAUUGGUGUCUGUUAACCCACAGCUUAUGCUUCUCUCAGGUUCCUGCUCCUUUCGGCCAUGACCUGUAGAGUUCUUCUGGUGACAGCCUUGGCCCUGUGUCAUGGGUUCAACCUGGACACCGAGAAUCCAAUCACCUUCCAAGAGGAUGCAAGGGGCUUCGGGCAGACCGUGGUCCAGUUUGAGGGGUCCUGGGUGGUGGUUGGAGCCCCACAGGAGAUCACGGCUGCCAACCAGACAGGUGGCCUCUACCAGUGUGAUUACAGCACGGGCAGGUGUGAGCCUGUCCCCCUGCAGGUCCCCGCGGAGGCCAUGAACAUGUCCCUGGGCCUGUCCCUGGCAGCUGCCACCAACCCAGCCCAGCUGCUGGCCUGCGGCCCCACUGUGCAUCAGACUUGCAAGGAGAACACAUAUGUCAACGGCCUAUGCUUCCUGUUUGAUUCCAACCUGCGGCGACAGCCUCAGCACUUCCCAGAGCCCCUCAGAGGUAGGGCCCCAUGGCAGAAACCAGAGGGACAGGGUAGGACCAGGCUGGGCACUGCUCAUGGUCUAGGGGUGACUUAGAGGUCUAGGUGCAGACGUGUGGGGAAACUGGGGUCUUUUGCACACACAGAGGCCGGGGGCACCUCGAGGAAAGCCCUGACACAGCUACUUACCUCUGGGAUGGCCACCAACUGCACAGGCAUGGCCCUGUGGUCCUUAGAGCGAUGUCAGGAUCUCCACCCACAGCCUUCCAUGUGGUGGAUGGUGCAGCCCCUGCUGGUCUCUCUCACCGCCCGUCUUUUUUCCUCAAGUCCCCCCUGCCCCUGCACCUCCUUUUGCCGGGAAUUACGCGGGAUGCCUUGUGUCAUGGUAUAAGAGCCAUUUUCCUGGCUCACUUUUCUUCAAAGCCUAGCCUACAACCUUGCGCUGUCCUCUCAGCUCAGGUGCCACCGCCCCUCCCGACAGGGGCCUUUCCUCCGAUCAUUCCCAACACUCUACCACACUGCCCUGCUUUACUAUCGCCGG